GACGAACGCUGGCGGCGUGCUUAACACAUGCAAGUCGAACGGAAAGGCCCUGCUUUUGUGGGGUGCUCGAGUGGCGAACGGGUGAGUAACACGUGAGUAACCUGCCCUUGACUUUGGGAUAACUUCAGGAAACUCGGGCUAAUACCCGAUAUGAGCUCCUGCUGCAUGUUGGGGGUUGGAAAGUUUCGGCGGUUGGGGAUGGACUCGCGGCUUAUCAGCUUGUUGGUGGGGUAGUGGCUUACCAAGGCUUUGACGGGUAGCCGGCCUGAGAGGGUGACCGGCCACAUUGGGACUGAGAUACGGCCCAGACUCCUACGGGAGGCAGCAGUGGGGAAUAUUGCACAAUGGGCGGAAGCCUGAUGCAGCAACGCCGCGUGCGGGAUGACGGCCUUCGGGUUGUAAACCGCUUUCGCCUGUGACGAAGCGUGAGUGACGGUAAUGGGUAAAGAAGCACCGGCUAACUACGUG
Molecule: ribosomal RNA, 468 nt
Filed under: uncultured bacterium
Lineage: Bacteria
Description: partial 16S ribosomal RNA
Rfam family: Bacterial small subunit ribosomal RNA
Source: RNAcentral